AUCACUGCGGUAGUUAUACUCUGACUUUGCAUCUUCUGCAACAAUUAGCGUAGCUGAAAAAAUAACAGUCGUCUCCAUCAACGGCAGAGGGAGAUAAAGAAAAGCAGAGGAAUACAGAAACCGUAGCUUAUUAUACUCGAGAUCUUUAAGAGUGUGAUCGUACAUAGUUAGAGAAGAGAAGUACAUGAGUGUUGUUGAUCUUUCUCAUCCACCAUUUAGUAAUAGAGGAUAUAUUUGAGUUCCAUAGAUGAUAAAAUAACAUUUCUUAGUUAAAACUAUUGAAUC
RNAcentral lists this long non-coding RNA (285 nucleotides) under Brassica napus (rape). Its description in RNAcentral is "long non-coding RNA (BNAP_LNC013805)". Lineage: Eukaryota; Viridiplantae; Streptophyta; Magnoliopsida; Brassicales; Brassicaceae. The record is from RNAcentral.